AGAGAGGUAAAGAGUUAGUGAGGACCCGGCUCUUUGUGAGCUCCUCAACGAAGAUGUAGCUUCGUUUGUGGAAGUGAACUUCGGUAAACAAAUUCCUUGUCUCAAGUGCUUGUUGUGUUUCUAUAUUUCAUUUUGACCUAGAAGCUUGAUUUCAGCCAAUCAAUAAAUUUGUGUGGUUCCUUGCAUAUCUAUCACCUGCAGUAGUCUAUACACUUCAUUUAUAAUCUUUUGAUUCAAACAGAAUUAGCAGAUUCAGGUUUUAUUUUGAAUUUCGUUCAGCUCACUUUCUGCUGUCGGAACUUCCGACCCAUCAGAAGUUUCGACAUAGCGUCAGAAGUUCCGACAAAUCUAAUACCGCUGCGAAGUUUUUCAGGAAAAUUUUGAAGUGAGCCUAUUCACCCUCCCCUCUAGGCAUCACAAGAUCCUUUCAACCACGC
RNAcentral lists this long non-coding RNA (437 nucleotides) under Setaria viridis. RNAcentral's name for it is "long non-coding RNA (SVIR_LNC010525)". Lineage: Eukaryota; Viridiplantae; Streptophyta; Magnoliopsida; Poales; Poaceae. The record is from RNAcentral.